RNAcentral lists this ribosomal RNA (825 nucleotides) under uncultured alveolate. Its description in RNAcentral is "SSU rRNA". It matches the Rfam family "Eukaryotic small subunit ribosomal RNA", at positions 13 to 845 of the family's 1831-position model. The record is from RNAcentral.
CCUGCCAGUAGUCAUAUGCUUGUCUCAAAGGUUAAGCCAUGCAUGUCUUAGUAUAAAUCCUCAGAGGUGAAACUGCGAACGGCUCAUUAAAACAGUCAUAUUUCAUUUGAUGGUGAAUGUGUAUAUGGAUAACUGUGGUAAUUCUACAGCUAAUACAUGUAUCCGUGACCGACUUUCAGGAAGGGCUGCUCUUACCAGUCACUAAGCCAACCCAGACUUCGUCUGGACUGUGGGUGAGUCUCGGUAAUAAUUCAAAUCUCGUAGCAUCCGCUAGUGGUGCGUCAUACAAGUGUCUGACCUAUCAGCUGUCGACGGUAGGGUAUUGGCCUACCGUGGCUAUGACGGGUAACAGAGAAUUAGGGUUUGAUUCUGGAGAGGGAGCCUGAUAAACGGCUACCACAUCUAAGGAAGGCAGCAGGCGCGAAAAUUACCCAAUCCUGACAUAGGGAGGUAGUAACAAGAAAUAACAAUACAGGGCAAUCAUGUCUUGUAGUUGGAAUGAGUAGAUUACAAAUCGCUGUAUGAGAAUCAAUUGGAGGGCAAGCCUGGUGCCAGCAGCCGCGGUAAUUCCAGCUCCAAUAGCGUAUAUUAAAGCUGUUGCGGUUAAAAAGCUCGUAGUUGGACUUCUGCUGAGGACGACUGGUCUGCCCUCUGGGUGAGUAUCUGGUUCGGCCGAAGCAUCUUCUUGGAGGUUGCAAGCGCACUUCAUUGUGUGGUGCAGCCGACUGGAAUUUUACUUUGAGGAAAUUAGAGUGUUCAAGGGAGGCGAACGCCUCGCAUAGGUUAGCAUGGAAUAAUGCUGUAAGACCAUGGUAUUGCUGUGUU